UUUUUUUUUUUUUUUUUUUUUUUUUUUUUUUUUUUUGAGAUUUGACAAAACCACCGCUGCAAGUCUGAAAAU
This 72-nucleotide non-coding RNA is filed under the name Alexandrium minutum. The record is from RNAcentral. Lineage: Eukaryota; Dinophyceae; Gonyaulacales; Pyrocystaceae.